RNAcentral lists this long non-coding RNA (214 nucleotides) under Trifolium pratense (red clover). RNAcentral's name for it is "long non-coding RNA (TPRA_LNC005850)". The record is from RNAcentral. Lineage: Eukaryota; Viridiplantae; Streptophyta; Magnoliopsida; Fabales; Fabaceae.
AAUUAGUGCUAGCUAGACUCACUUAAGAAGGAAUGCCUAACAUCUCUUGGGGAUUCUAUGUUUGUUGCCUGAAAAAACAUACAAGACAAUGAUUAGCAAUAUCCAAGUACUCCUAACACUCAACUAAAAACCAGUGACACUCAACAAAUAAUCAUAUAUUGAUCCACCACCUAUAAUCAUGUUUUAGUAAACAAACACCUAAAGCUAAAAAUUG